AGGACAUCCUCCUCCCAGUGACGAGAGGUCACGCUACAAGUUCGCCUUACACCAGGAAUGGGAAGAGUGUUUUUUGUUAACACCAUUAUUUUUCCUGUUUGUUUUUUGGGGUUUUUGUUGUUUUGGUGGUUUGUUUUUUGUUGUUUGUUUGUUUGUUUGGAGUUUUUUAUUUGUUUGUGGUUUUUUUGGUUUUUUUUGCUGGUGGUGGUUGUUGUUGUUGUUGUUUCGCCUGCUGUUGACCGGCUGCUUGGUUUUGACAAAAGUUGCACAAAAUAUCAGUGCCUCCCAGAAACAACACUCAGAUGAAACUGUUCUUCAGAAGUUCACUGGAGAAAAACACCUUAGGAAGCUCGACCAUUUGCUUCUUCUUCUUCUUCUUUUUUUUUUUUUUUUUUUUUUUUUUUUAAUGUUUCCAAAGAAACGCAAGCUUCCCUUCUUCUCUAGGGAAAAAGUACUCAUUGCUCUUCUCUGCACUAGACAUUUCUAGCUUGUUCUGUCUGUCAGAACGGGACUAUGAGAGGUUUUGGUGCAAAUUCAUUAUCUCUGGCAAUGCAUAACGUAUAGUAGGAACUGAAAAAGACCGUGGCAAUGGAUGAAGAACAAUAGAGCUUCAGUUCAUCAGCAACAAAAGCGUUGGGGAAAUUGGUUGAAUUUCAGAGCACGUCCUCCUCAGCAGAGAGGCUGGACUAGACCUUGGCCAAACCCCCAAAAUCUUGCAGAACCUCACAUACAACAGUUCACUUUCUACUCCAGGGUGUGGGCAAAAGUGUGGAAAAAGAAAAAAAAAAAAAAGGCAAACCCAAGCCAACUUUCUCCAUUUCUCCCCUGUUUUCAUGGAUGGAAGAUUUUAAACUAUUUUAGAGUCGUUGGAGCAAGAACAACACCAUGGAUCUAAGGGAUACUUUCAAAUAGAGAUGGAGAGGGGAAACACUUGAAUUUCUGGAGACCUGAAAGAGCUUUUUCUGCUCCUAGGGGCCUUGGCUGUGGGAAUCUUUGUUUGCCACCAGAGGCUCAGCUCACCUCCCUACAUGUGGGGUAAAAAUCACUCCCUGAUAAAGGCGAAGAUAUACCGGGAGCAGCAGCAGCCGGCAAGGACCGCCGCCUUCUUCUGCCCAGCUUUAGGAGCUCCGAGAAAGGGCGAAUCCCCCCCUUCCAAAAUACACACGCAGGCAAGGUAUUUGCAAUCAAGCUGCCACUAUUUGGCAAAGAGCUCUAUGCCGUGUACAAUGUAAGGAGCUCCGGAGCCGCAUCCUCGAAUCAUCUUGUUACCUCCUACUGAAAUGGAUUUUCCCCACCUUCUUGUUCCUCCUUACACUGCGCUGGAAAUUGCCGAAGGCUUUUCACCUUUAUAGAGGCUAAGGUGUCUUUCGUGGAAAAGAAGCGAUUCACAAUGCAAAUAGGGGCCUGUAAAGGAAUGGAUGCUCCUCUCUCUUAAUGCAGCUUGACGCAACUUAAUAGCUGGUUUUAUUUUCUGUUAUUAAGAGACAAAUUGAUGGCUACCUUUGCCGGAAAUUACUGGCUGAAACAAAAAGUUCGGAAUAAACUUUGAAGGCAAGGGGUCGUUGUGUAGCUGCACAUACAUACAGAAAUAAUUACAUAAAAGGAUGACAUUUUAAAGCAGCGCUAGUCCUCAUGGAGGAAACAAUACUUUUGCCAGAAAGAAUCUGGACUGUAGCAAGGACAAAAAAAAAAAAAAAAAAAAAUUCUGAGGGAAGUGAGUUGUUAUCUUUGGUUAUCUAGCUGUAUGAGUGUUUUGGUCUUCAUAAAGCUAGAUAACCGAAAGUAAAAACUCCUUCAAGAUCAUCGUACGGUAUGUGAAAAUGAAAGACUGCUGCAACAGAGUAAAAAUCAAAGAGAGUCAGAAAUGCUUAUUGAAUCUAACAUUUUUACAGCUAAAGAUGAGACUGGAGAAAGUUAAAUGGCAUACUUAUUCAAAAAUAUGAAGUUGAUGGCACGCUUAUUCCAAAAUAUGAAGAUGUUGCAUGGCACAGAAUGGAUAUUCACCCGCUGCAGAGAGAACAUGGUACUGAUGGUAAACAAUGUAUAUGCAACUAUUGCUGUGGAAUAAAUAAAUAAAGAGAAACCAAGAACGGUCAGCAUUAAACCAGACUAAGAGGACAUUUUUUUCUUUUAGAAAACUAAUGCUGAAUUUCAUUUUGCAAAGUAAUUCAUUGCAAUGAAAUGGCCUUAAAAAAUAAAGGUGGUAGUUGGUGAUAAAGAUGGUGCUGCUGAUGAUACAGAGCUGACUACUGAACUGAGGAAAAAUAAAACUCAAAUACAACAACAAAAAACAACAGUCCAACCUAAACCUGUCUGUGUGCAUUUGAGACAAAGCAUUGAGGUUAAUUUCAAAUCAUGUGAAAGCAGGCUUUCAGAGAAAGUUUACACCGAAGUGCAGGCAAGCUUAAUGAUUUAUAUCUACUUAGAACUCGGUGGAGUUGCACAAAAAUGGAGAAAAAAGUAAUGGCCGAUUUUCAUUCCUCUAUUCAAAACGCGAGCAUAGAUGCUUCUGUGUUUCGAGAGGGUUUCCUUGAGGAAGCUACUGAAGCAGAAAGACAUGAUGGAGACGAGAUCGCCCUCCCCCCGUCAAUGUGUGGAAAAAUGUUUUAUGCCUCGCUCUGCACCUAGCAUUGGAAAUGAAAGUGACAUUUACUCCAAAACCCACGUGUGCGCCUCCUCUCUUUUUGUUUAAGGACGAUCAGGUCUAUCCUGGAAACAGCUCUGGCAUCCCAUACCGAAAUAAUUAGGACGUAUACAGACCUGACAAAAACACGGAGAGGAGGGGAGGGGAGGAGGUGGAGAAGCGGAGGGUCUGUCUUGCCUAAUUGAUUCCGUUAAACGACGUGCCGGAGAUGUGAACGGCUGGGCGCUCCCAUUCCCACGCUCGGGGCAAAUGGCAGCGCCGCGCCCCGGCCGUCGGUGACAGACAGCGCGGCGGGGGCCGGGGCCGGGGCCGGGGAGCCCGCUCCGACACCCGCGAGAGCAUUUGCCACCCACUGCCGUCCCAGAAAUGCCGGACGAAGGGACGGGGCUGCAGAGCACGCCCGCUUCCCCUGCCGUGCCCGCCGAGGGAGAAGGGCGGAACUCGCGCCCGGACGGAACUCGCUCCCUUCUCCCGCGGGGGUCGCGAGGGGACGCGGGUUUUGGUCCCGAUGGAGGAAGGGAAGGUCAGGGCAGAUGUGUCGGGAUGCAAACAGUCCUGUGUUUUUAACAAAUAUUAUCAUUAUAAUGACGGCUGCUUAGGCGCCUCUUGCAGUGAAACUGAGGGGGAUUCAUUGCUCAGGGUUACAUAUUUCCUUUGGACUUGACCUAAAGGUUUGUCCAGAGGCACGCUCGAAUGUGUUACUGAGCUGGUAACCGAACGUUCUCCGCUGCAGAUUAAAAUAAGAUCAGCGAUAAGGGAGUGUGGGUCAGCGGUCUCCAUCCGUCUGGGGCAAAACCAUUGCUCGCCGCUCUUUAUAAUUAUUUAAUUUAUUUUGUUUUUUCGCUUCGUUGUUGAACUGACUAUAAAAAGCAUUGGUUUGGGGCUUAUACUGGGAAUAUUUACCUUCACGCCAUCCAUUGCACUGUGAGAAGGAUGGAACAAGGAUCCAGCUAGCGUGUUCUGGAAGCAGCAGGAGCACUGUGUAGCAAAACCAAAGAAUUUUGCCUAAAAAGUUAGACCAUCCGCUCUGUAGCUGUUAAAAUAACCUUAGUUUCGGCCGGAGGGUGCUCCCCGUGGUCCUCGGCAGUGCCAGCUGGGACCCCGGCUAGGCUCUUUUGAGGUUAAACCUUUGUUUUGUCUGCGCUACGUAUGCUCUAAGUUUUACUGCUGCAGCGCCCGGUGAGGGGAGCUGUGUUUAUUUACAUCAGAGCUGAGUUUGAUCAGCCGGGCUUUCAACGCACAGUGCCCGCCUCUCAUUUAACUGCUUGUCCAGUGGUGCUAUUUACCUCGAGCCAUUGUCCACUACAAUUAAUAUUUACAUGACAAAGUGCGCGGUCUUGUUUCUUAACGAGCUUCAAUAAAGGCGAUAAGCUGUUUUCUGGGGAAACCCCUUGUUUACUUGGGCAUGAAUGGGGUUAAUUUACUUAAUUUACUUAAGAUCUUGCUUGCGUCUAGGUCUUCGUUGUAAAUUUGUGAAAGAAAACAUCAGAGAAAAACAGCAGCAUUAUAAUCGCGUGUUUGCCGUUGUCAUCUUAAAUUGUUUUGUAUCUUAAUAACGUCACGUGAUUAUGAAUCAAUAAAAUAUUAUUGGCUAUUAUUACUAUUA
Melospiza melodia melodia is the source of this 4250-nucleotide long non-coding RNA. RefSeq lists it as uncharacterized. The transcript has 2 exons. The record is from RefSeq and is a predicted model, not a curated record. Lineage: Eukaryota; Metazoa; Chordata; Aves; Passeriformes; Passerellidae.